GAUGAACGCUGGCGGCGUGCCUAAUACAUGCAAGUCGAGCGAACAGACGAGGAGCUUGCUCCUCUGACGUUAGCGGCGGACGGGUGAGUAACACGUGGAUAACCUUCCUAUAAGACUGGGAUAACUUCGGGAAACCGGAGCUAAUACCGGAUAAUAUAUUGAACCGCAUGGUUCAAUAGUGAAAGACGGUUUUGCUGUCACUUAUCGAUGGAUCCGCGCCGCAUUAGCUAGUUAGUAAGGUAACGGCUUACCAAGGCAACGAUGCGUAGCCGACCUGAGAGGGCGAUCGGCCACACUGGAACGGAGACGCGGUCCAGACUCCUACGGUAGGGAGCAGUAGGGAAUCUUCCGCAAUGGGCGAAAGCCUGACGGAGCAACGCCGCGUGAGUGAUGAAGGUCUUCGGAUCGUAAAACUCUGUUAUUAGGGAAGAACAAAUGUGUAAGUAACUAUGCACGUCUUGACGGUACCGAAUCAGAAAGCCACGGCUAACUACGUG
Molecule: ribosomal RNA, 497 nt
Filed under: uncultured bacterium
Lineage: Bacteria
Description: partial 16S ribosomal RNA
Rfam family: Bacterial small subunit ribosomal RNA
Source: RNAcentral